RNAcentral lists this ribosomal RNA (280 nucleotides) under uncultured bacterium. RNAcentral's name for it is "partial 16S ribosomal RNA". It matches the Rfam family "Bacterial small subunit ribosomal RNA", at positions 230 to 524 of the family's 1533-position model. The record is from RNAcentral.
CCCGCGGCCUAUCAGCUUGUUGGUGGGGUAAUGGCCUACCAAGGCGACGACGGGUAGCCGACCUGAGAGGGUGACCGGCCACACUGGGACUGAGACACGGCCCAGACUCUACGGGAGGCAGCAGUGGGGAAUAUUGCACAAUGGGCGGAAGCCUGAUGCAGCGACGCCGCGUGAGGGAUGAAGGCUUCGGGUUGUAAACCUCUUUCAGCAGGGACGAAGCGUGAGUGACGGUACCUGCAGAAGAAGCACCGGCUAACUACGUGCCAGCAGCCGCGGUAAU